GAUGAACGCUGGCGGCGUGCCUAAUACAUGCAAGUCGAGCGAACAGACGAGGAGCUUGCUCCUCUGACGUUAGCGGCGGACGGGUGAGUAACACGUGGAUAACCUACCUAUAAGACUGGGAUAACUUCGGGAAACCGGAGCUAAUACCGGAUAAUAUAUUGAACCGCAUGGUUCAAUAGUGAAAGACGGUUUUGCUGUCACUUAUAGAUGGAUCCGCGCCGCAUUAGCUAGUUGGUAAGGUAACGGCUUACCAAGGCAACGAUGCGUAGCCGACCUGAGAGGGUGAUCGGCCACACUGGAACUGAGACACGGUCCAGACUCCUACGGGAGGCAGCAGUAGGGAAUCUUCCGCAAUGGGCGAAAGCCUGACGGAGCAACGCCGCGUGAGUGAUGAAGGUCUUCGGAUCGUAAAACUCUGUUAUUAGGGAAGAACAAAUGUGUAAGUACCUAUGCACGUCUUGACGGUACCUAAUCAGAAAGCCACGGCUAACUCCGUG
This 497-nucleotide ribosomal RNA is filed under the name uncultured bacterium. RNAcentral describes it as "partial 16S ribosomal RNA". It matches the Rfam family "Bacterial small subunit ribosomal RNA", at positions 28 to 507 of the family's 1533-position model. The record is from RNAcentral.